AUUUUAAUAGCUUAAAUAAAGCAAAAUAUUGAAGAUAUUUAUAUAGAACUUUCUUUAAAAUA
This 62-nucleotide transfer RNA is filed under the name Siboglinum ekmani. RNAcentral describes it as "tRNA-Phe". The record is from RNAcentral. Lineage: Eukaryota; Metazoa; Annelida; Polychaeta; Sabellida; Siboglinidae.